Molecule: ribosomal RNA, 496 nt
Filed under: uncultured bacterium
Lineage: Bacteria
Description: partial 16S ribosomal RNA
Rfam family: Bacterial small subunit ribosomal RNA
Source: RNAcentral
GAUGAACGCUGGCGGCGUGCCUAAUACAUGCAAGUCGAGCGAACAGACGAGGAGCUUGCUCCUCUGACGUUAGCGGCGGACGGGUGAGUAACACGUGGAUAACCUACCUAUAAGACUGGGAUAACUUCGGGAAACCGGAGCUAAUACCGGAUAAUAUAUUGAACCGCAUGGUUCAAUAGUGAAAGACGGUUUUGCUGUCACUUAUAGAUGGAUCCGCGCCGCAUUAGCUAGUUGGUAAGGUAACGGCUUACCAAGGCAACGAUGCGUAGCCGACCUGAGAGGGUGAUCGGCCACCCUGGAACUGAGACACGGUCCAGACUCCUACGGGAGGCAGCAGUAGGGAAUCUUCCGCAAUGGGCGAAAGCCUGACGGAGCAACGCCGCGUGAGUGAUGAAGGUCUUCGGAUCGUAAAACUCUGUUAUUAGGGAAGAACAAAUGUGUAAGUAACUAUGCACGUCUUGACGGGACCUAAUCAGAAAGCCACGGCUAACUACGU